CAAUAGCGUAUAUUUAAGUUGUUGCAGUUAAAAAGCUCGUAGUUGGAUUUCGGUUAAGAGCGACCGGUCCGCCGUUUGGUGUGCACUGGUUGGUUUUAACUUCCUGUAGAGGACGUGCUCUGGGUUUAACGACCUGGACUCGGAGUCUACGUGGUUACUUUGAAAAAAUUAGAGUGUUCAAAGCGGGCUUACGCUUGAAUAUUUCAGCAUGGAAUAACACUAUAGGACUCCUGUCCUAUUUCGUUGGUCUCGGGACGGGAGUAAUGAUUAAGAGGAACAGUUGGGGGCAUUCGUAUUUCCUUGUCAGAGGUGAAAUUCUUGGAUUUAUGAAAGACGAACUUCUGCGAAAGCAUUUGCCAAGGAUGUUUUCAUUAA
Molecule: ribosomal RNA, 375 nt
Filed under: uncultured eukaryote
Lineage: Eukaryota
Description: partial 18S ribosomal RNA
Rfam family: Eukaryotic small subunit ribosomal RNA
Source: RNAcentral